Molecule: transfer RNA, 73 nt
Filed under: Bombilactobacillus mellis
Lineage: Bacteria; Bacillati; Bacillota; Bacilli; Lactobacillales; Lactobacillaceae
Also listed under: 6 other names
Description: Lactobacillus mellis tRNA
Rfam family: tRNA
About the family: Transfer RNA (tRNA) molecules are approximately 80 nucleotides in length.
Source: Rfam by way of RNAcentral
GCCAGCUUAGCUCAGUUGGUAGAGCAUCGGUGUCGUAAUCCGGGGGUCACAGGUUCGAGCCCUGCAGCUGGCA